GAUGAACGCUGGCGGCGUGCCUAAUACAUGUAAGUCGAGCGAACAGACGAGGAGCUUGGUAAUUUGAUGUUAGAGGGGGAAGGAUGAGUAAAAUGUGGAUAAUAUAAUUAUAAGAUUGGGAUAAGUUACGGAAAACGGAGCUAAUAACGGAUAAUAUAUUGAACCGCAUGGUUCAAUAGUGAAAGACGGUUUUGCUGGCAUUUAGAGAUGGAUCCGCGCUGCAUUAGCUAGUUGGUAAGGUGACGGCUUCGCAGGGCAAGAAUGCGUAGCCGACCUGAGAGGGGGGUCGGCCACAGUGGAACUGAGACACGAUCCAGACUCCUACGGGAGGCAGCGGUGGGGAAUCUGCGGCAAUGGGCGAAAGCUUGACGGAUGAACGCCGCGUGGGUGAUGAAGGUCUUCGGGUCGUAAGACUCUGUUAUUAUGGAAGAACAAAUGUGUAAGUAACUAUGCACGUCUUGACGGUACCUGAUCAGAAAGCCCCGGCUAACUACGUG
This 497-nucleotide ribosomal RNA is filed under the name uncultured bacterium. RNAcentral describes it as "partial 16S ribosomal RNA". It matches the Rfam family "Bacterial small subunit ribosomal RNA", at positions 28 to 507 of the family's 1533-position model. The record is from RNAcentral.